GGCCAAUAAGCCAUCCCAAUGCACUCAACUUAGAAUACAGUAUGCUAAGAAAAAAAACCUGGAAGCAGAGAUACAAACAACCAACAGCACAGUGAAUAGAAAUUCCAAUGAAAAUAGCACAAAUACAAACACACAAAACUUCACAGCACCGCCAAAAAACAACAAAACACACAACUUAACAUUGAAAACUGAAGGCAAGAACUCAAAAGUAAGCAAAGAAAUCUUCAGAUUGCGAUGCUUCUAGAAAAUGCGUAGGAUCACUACACGUGGCAUGGUUGACGAAUUAUUGAUAAUGGAAUUGAUGAUUGCUGCUAGACGCCAAGGACCAUUACUCGGACAUAAAACCCAGGACGUUGCAAUUUUAGAGUCAGAAUCUAAAAUAAAACCAUCAGCACCACAGCACACAUGGGGUAAAUCAACUAGUAAAUCUAGUACUAGUUAAUAAAACGAAACACAAGCCAAAGAAAUAUAAUACAAAAGGAGAAAAUAUAGAAGGGAAGGAACAGUCAACAGACACAUCUAUACAGAUCUGCAAGAAAAUAUUCAAAUGUCGGCACUACUUUUGGGAAAUAGUUCUUCUAAUUUUAU
Molecule: unclassified non-coding RNA, 588 nt
Filed under: Hevea brasiliensis (rubber tree)
Lineage: Eukaryota; Viridiplantae; Streptophyta; Magnoliopsida; Malpighiales; Euphorbiaceae
Source: RNAcentral